RNAcentral lists this ribosomal RNA (552 nucleotides) under Triticum aestivum (bread wheat). RNAcentral's name for it is "partial small subunit ribosomal RNA". Lineage: Eukaryota; Viridiplantae; Streptophyta; Magnoliopsida; Poales; Poaceae. The record is from RNAcentral.
AUGAUCACUGUCGUCGUCUCCUCCAUGGAGGAAGAGGAAGAGGGUGGGGGAGGGGGACGGGGGAGGGCAGCGCCCGGAGCCGUGUGCGCGUGGCCGUGGCGCCGGAGCGGCGAAGGAGGGGUAGGGUGGUGCUCGCCGCGGCCAGAGGGCGACCUCGUCACUGGGCUCCCCGGGCAACCAGAGGUCGGGUUCAAGCACUACGCAGGCUACGUCGACGUCGGAACGGGCGGCGACAAGGCGCUCUUCUAUUGGUUCUUCGAGGCCGAGAAGGGGCCGGAGAAGAAGCCCCUCAUGCUGUGGGAUAUGGCUCAACGGAGGUUUUUUGUUUUCGUCACUCCUUUGUUAUAUGGAAGAAGACUUCAUGGCACUCAGGAAGGUGCCAAGGAGAUGCUGGACCAAGGCGUGGAGGCAUUGCAAGCUGAAGAGCACAUAGCUGCAGAUGCUGGAGGCCGGGCCGGUGAGCCGAGGAUUGGAGGUAGCGCUGAUUGGUGUUUUUAUGGAGAGAUAGGAUGCCCCUGUUUGGUGUUUUUAUGCAUUUUGGUUUGCUUGUAA